This 301-nucleotide ribosomal RNA is filed under the name uncultured bacterium. RNAcentral's name for it is "partial 16S ribosomal RNA". It matches the Rfam family "Bacterial small subunit ribosomal RNA", at positions 509 to 807 of the family's 1533-position model. The record is from RNAcentral.
CAGUCGCCGCGGGAAUACGAAGGGUGCAAGCGUUAAUCGGAAUUACUGGGCGUAAAGCGUGCGUAGGCGGUGAGUUAAGUCUGCUGUGAAAUCCCCGGGCUCAACCUGGGAAUGGCAGCGGAUACUGGCUCGCUAGAGUGUGUCAGAGGAUGGUGGAAUUCCCGGUGUAGCGGUGAAAUGCGUAGAGAUCGGGAGGAACAUCAGUGGCGAAGGCGGCCAUCUGGGACAACACUGACGCUGAGGCACGAAAGCGUGGGGAGCAAACAGGAUUAGAUACCCCAGUAGUCCCUGUCUCUUAUAC